Molecule: RNA transcript, 1645 nt
Organism: Folsomia candida
Lineage: Eukaryota; Metazoa; Arthropoda; Collembola; Entomobryomorpha; Isotomidae
Exons: 4
Source: RefSeq, a predicted model, not a curated record
UUUGCUAACAUUUCUUUAACAAAAGUUUUACUCCUACCUUGUAAAAUUAUGAAACACAAGAGUCAAGCUGUAUCACUGGUGCUCAUAUCCCUCCUCUUUUCUCAAAGUUAUUGCUACAUAAAAAUACUUCGAGACAAAAACCAUCGUAACGGGAAGGCUGGCUUGGUGCAUGUCAUCAAGGAUGGAAUAGAGGAAGUGAUAACCCCGAAAAAUUCGAAAAUAGAUAAGGGUUAUUUGUACAAAGUUAUCCAGAAGGAUUUCGUUUGUUCCGAUAAUCUUGAGCCACCGCCUAAUUCACGAGAUAGAUGGGUCCUUAUUUCGUCCAAUUUUCGGUGUGAAGUGGAUAGAAUGGUCGUCAAUGCGGAGAGAAUGGGUUACCAUGGAAUUAUUAUUUAUCCGAUUGAACCAAGUGCCAAUAAAGUCUUGAAACUUUCUCCAAAAGUGAAGUCACAGACGGGGAUAUGUGUAUACAUUUUGAGUGAGCGGCAAGCUCAAAAGCUUAAGCGGUAUACAUAUCCGUUCUUUAAUGGGGAAAGUUUCAUGAUCCGAUUUGCCGAAAGAUCAACCACACCUGCGACACCGCCCCCACCACCGAGACCGACAAUUAUUAUACCGCUAUAUACCCCUUGGACGUCUACAUUUACAAAAGAUGAAUAUGCAACUCACAAAUUUUUCGCCGCCCUGGUAGUAGGUGGUUUAGGUUAUUUUCUCAAGCCUUAACGAGGGAAUACUUUUCGCUUGGUCGCACCUCCAUUUUGACGAAAUUGUAUCGCGGUGUUCCGAUACUCGACGGACGUGACGAUGGAAAAGUGCCGUCACGUUUAAAUGAACAUGUGGGUCAUGCUCUAUACCUAAAACUUGAAUGGUUCUUAGUUCACUCGUUUAUGCACACCGGUGUCGCAAUUUGCGGGUUACAUUUGUCCAUUGUAAAAUACUCUAAACUACGACUGGGAAGCAGGAGAUGACACAAUUGGAGUGGACGAUGUAAUUUCCUGUGAUGCAAUAGAAAUUCUUAAGACGUUUGACAAAUACGGGGAUACCCCUGUACGCUUCGAGAAACUUAUUACAACUAUAGGAUACAUCAAAGACAUGCCUCCAGCCUCUAAGAAGAACCUACAAUCUCUUAAGGCCACUGUAGCAAAACAUGACAUAAUCAAUUACCGUCGUUUAGAGUUGGAGCUCAUCAAAAAAGCCUUUAUCACAUCUGGGGUAACGGAUUUUCUUAACGACAGGCCACAUCUGUGGUCCAGCGCGUUUCCAAGAUUGAGCCAGAUGAGGUACACAGCCGUAAUGGUGACGAGGAAGCUUAAAUUUUUCACGAGCCAAACGAAUGUUUGCAUGGACGCAAUAGCAAGAAUAACUUGUUUAUUUUAUGAUUUUCUCUGCAACGUUGGAGAUGAUCAAUUGACCAAGUUCAUUCGUGCAGUCACCGCAUGGCCAUUUCUUCCCGAGGAGGACAUCAAAGUUAUAAUAACCGCUGGUGGAGGAUUCACGGUGCACACGUGUUCCUUGGAAAUCCAUGUCCCGGAAACCUUGAGUAAUGACAACAUUUUGUGUUACUUGAGGAUUCUAGUGGAAUUUUGUGAGGAGGGGUUCGGAGCUGCAUAGGAGUAAAAUGAAAAUAAAUAUUUUGUCGUACUCAUUC